GACGAACGCUGGCGGCGUGCUUAACACAUGCAAGUCGAACGGGAAGGCCCUGCUUUUGUGGGGUGCUCGAGUGGCGAACGGGUGAGUAACACGUGGGUAACCUGACCUUGACUUUGGGAUAACUUCAGGAAACUGGGGCUAAUACCGGAUAGGAGCUCCUGCUGCAUGGUGGGGGUUGGAAAGUUUCGGCGGUUGGGGAUGGACUCGCGGCUUAUCAGCCUGUGGGUGGGGUAGUGGCUUACCAAGGCUUUGACGGGUAGCCGGCCGUAGAGGGUGACCGGCCACAUUGGGACUGAGAUGCGGCGCAGACUCCUACGGGAGGCAGCAGUGGGGAAUAUUGCACAAUGGGCGGAAGCCUGAUGCAGCAACGCCGCGUGCGGGAUGACGGCCUUCGGGUUGUAAACCGCUUUCGCCUGUGACGAAGCGUGAGUGACGGUAAUGGGUAAAGAAGCACCGGCUAACUACGUG
This 468-nucleotide ribosomal RNA is filed under the name uncultured bacterium. RNAcentral describes it as "partial 16S ribosomal RNA". It matches the Rfam family "Bacterial small subunit ribosomal RNA", at positions 28 to 507 of the family's 1533-position model. The record is from RNAcentral.